CCUACGGGAGACAGCAGUGAGGAAUAUUGGUCAAUGGGCGCGAGCCUGAACCAGCCAAGUAGCGUGAAGGAUGACUGCCCUACGGGUUGUAAACUUCUUUUAUAAAGGAAUAAAGUGAGGCACGUGUGCCUUUUUGUAUGUACUUUAUGAAUAAGGAUCGGCUAACUCCGUGCCAGCAGCCGCGGUAAUACGGAGGAUCCGAGCGUUAUCCGGAUUUAUUGGGUUUAAAGGGAGCGUAGAUGGGUUGUUAAGUCAGUUGUGAAAUUUUGCGGCUCAACCGUAAAAUUGCAAUUGAUACUGGCAGGCUGGAGUACAGUUGAGGUAGGCGGAAUUCGUGGUGUAGCGGUGAAAUGCUUAGAUAUCACGAAGAACUCCGAUUGCGAAGGCAGCUUACUAAACUGCAACUGACAUUGAUGCUCGAAAGUGUGGGUAUCAAACAGGAUUAGAUACCCCGGUAGUC
Molecule: ribosomal RNA, 460 nt
Filed under: uncultured bacterium
Lineage: Bacteria
Description: partial 16S ribosomal RNA
Rfam family: Bacterial small subunit ribosomal RNA
Source: RNAcentral